CUGUUCUUAUUUUGUAGUUUUGUGACCUAAAAAAACAAGCAAUCACAUACAUGGAUCCAUUUGGUGAAGAAGAGGAAAAGAAAAAUGACAUUCUGAUGAACUGGAGUUCUUUUGCCAAAGCUAAGGGCUGCUCCUUUAAAUGGUCAUGGACUGAUGUGCCCCAUCCACGACAGGAGGAUGGACAUUCCUGUGGUGUCCAUGUGUUAAUGUUUGCUCAGGCCCUGCUUGAUGGCCAAAUAUUGGUGGAGG
This is a long non-coding RNA of Triplophysa rosa, 249 nucleotides long. RefSeq lists it as uncharacterized. The transcript is spliced from 3 exons. The record is from RefSeq and is a predicted model, not a curated record. Lineage: Eukaryota; Metazoa; Chordata; Actinopteri; Cypriniformes; Nemacheilidae.